RNAcentral lists this ribosomal RNA (500 nucleotides) under uncultured bacterium. Its description in RNAcentral is "partial 16S ribosomal RNA". It matches the Rfam family "Bacterial small subunit ribosomal RNA", at positions 30 to 523 of the family's 1533-position model. The record is from RNAcentral.
AUUGAACGCUGGCGGCAGGCCUAACACAUGCAAGUCGAGCGGUUGAGGGGAGCUUGCUCCCUGAUUCAGCGGCGGACGGGUGAGUAAUGCCUAGGAAUCUGCCUAUUAGUGGGGGACAACGUUUCGAAAGGAACGCUAAUACCGCAUACGUCCUACGGGAGAAAGCAGGGGACCUUCGGGCCUUGCGCUAAUAGAUGAGCCUAGGUCGGAUUAGCUAGUUGGUGAGGUAAUGGCUCACCAAGGCGACGAUCCGUAACUGGUCUGAGAGGAUGAUCAGUCACACUGGAACUGAGACACGGUCCAGACUCCUACGGGAGGCAGCAGUGGGGAAUAUUGGACAAUGGGCGAAAGCCUGAUCCAGCCAUGCCGCGUGUGUGAAGAAGGUCUUCGGAUUGUAAAGCACUUUAAGUUGGGAGGAAGGGUUGUAGAUUAAUACUCUGCAAUUUUGACGUUACCGACAGAAUAAGCACCGGCUAACUCUGUGCCAGCCGCCGCCGCGG